Long non-coding RNA from Anoplopoma fimbria (sablefish), 903 nucleotides. RefSeq lists it as uncharacterized. NCBI's taxonomy places the organism in Eukaryota, Metazoa, Chordata, Actinopteri, Perciformes, Anoplopomatidae. The transcript is spliced from 3 exons. The record is from RefSeq and is a predicted model, not a curated record.
GUGUGAGUGUCUGCGAAGGUGAAGCUGUGUGUUCACUCCUCUCUUCUUAGAAAAGUCUACUCUGCAACAAGAAGAGAUUCAAGCCGACAGAGAGGCGACUCUGAAAGCAAAGGGGUCUGAUCCAUCUAUCCUCAAGCCGUUAUACAUUGUAAUAAAAAAAUACAUCAUGGGAAGAGAUAGUGAAGAGUGGGAUGACAACCGCGGGGACACGAUGCAGGAUCAGCCUCCGAGAUAUGAGGAAACGGAGGGUAGAAAAUCGGGGAGCAAAUGUCCAAAGUGCUGCUUGCAGACGAGGGACUGUCUGAUGAGCCCGGAGUGCGGCCGGGGGCUUCAGAUCGCCAGCGUCAUCUCCAUGUGUGGGAUGUGCAUCCGCUGGUUUGUGUAACAUAACCUUGGACAUCAGGAGCAGUUUUUUCCGGGCCUCAUUGAUUCUCAUCCUCCCCCAGCACCCGUCAUUAGAUUCACUCCGUACGGUUUUUCAUCUAGACCGAGAGGAAAAUAUUCUCUUUCAGUCCAUUUCAUCAGCUAAAAAAUGUUUUUAUUUCUGCAUCUACAAGUUAUUUAUUAAACAAAAGAAACUCACUGUCUGUAUAUAAAAUAAACUAAAGAGACAAUAAUGAUAUAUGAAUGGAUGAGUGUGACUUUGAUCUGCAUGUCUUUGUGAAAUGUUUAUUUGGACGCCUGUCUGAUUGAUCAAUUCUGGUUGAUCAAAACAUAUUUAUGGUGUAGCAGUUUUCAGUAAUAAUACGAAAUAACUGUAAUAUUAUGAUGGUAAUAAACUAGAUUUACGACACAUCGUAACCCCGACAUCUUCUCUUAAAUGAUGAGUAUGAUGACCAGAUGGUAGUGGAAGAACCUGUCAGACAUCUGAACUAAUGAAAAACUUUAAAUAAAGCUUUCAGU